GAUGAACGCUGGCGGCGUGCUUAACACAUGCAAGUCGAACGGAAAGGCCCAAGCUUGCUUGGGUACUCGAGUGGCGAACGGGUGAGUAACACGUGGGUGAUCUGCCCUGCACUUCGGGAUAAGCCUGGGAAACUGGGUCUAAUACCGGAUAGGACCACAUUUUGGAUGGUGUGGUGGAAAGUUUUUCGGUGUGGGAUGAGCUCGCGGCCUAUCAGCUUGUUGGUGGGGUAAUGGCCUACCAAGGCGUCGACGGGUAGCCGGCCUGAGAGGGUGUACGGCCACAUUGGGACUGAGAUACGGCCCAGACUCCUACGGGAGGCAGCAGUGGGGAAUAUUGCACAAUGGGCGCGAGCCUGAUGCAGCGACGCCGCGUGGGGGAUGACGGCCUUCGGGUUGUAAACUCCUUUCGCUAGGGACGAAGCGCAAGUGACGGUACCUGGAGAAGAAGCACCGGCUAACUACGUG
RNAcentral lists this ribosomal RNA (465 nucleotides) under uncultured bacterium. RNAcentral's name for it is "partial 16S ribosomal RNA". It matches the Rfam family "Bacterial small subunit ribosomal RNA", at positions 28 to 507 of the family's 1533-position model. The record is from RNAcentral.